Molecule: signal recognition particle RNA, 269 nt
Filed under: Candidatus Hydrogenedens sp.
Lineage: Bacteria; Pseudomonadati; Candidatus Hydrogenedentota; Candidatus Hydrogenedentia; Candidatus Hydrogenedentales; Candidatus Hydrogenedentaceae
Description: signal recognition particle sRNA large type
Rfam family: Bacterial large signal recognition particle RNA
About the family: The signal recognition particle (SRP) is a universally conserved ribonucleoprotein involved in the co-translational targeting of proteins to membranes. Archaeal SRP consists of a 7S RNA and homologues of the eukaryotic SRP19 and SRP54 proteins.
Source: RNAcentral
UCGCGCUAGACGGGGAGUUAGCGGUGUCCUGUAACUCGCAAUCCGCUUUAGCGAGGUUGAAGUCCCACUCGAGGGCAUCGUGCCUUUUAGUCAGGUUCGGGGUACGUGGCAUUGAGGGCUGGGUCCUACUCAACGGGGUGCUGGUGAACCCGGUCAGGUCCGAAAGGAAGCAGCCGCAGCUGGUUAAUCUCGUGUGCUGUAGGAUCGCCUGGCCUGAGCCGGCGGCCUCCGAGGCCGUUCUGGGCAUAUGUUCGAAGGUGGGUGCGCGG